Molecule: unclassified non-coding RNA, 2497 nt
Filed under: uncultured fungus
Lineage: Eukaryota; Fungi
Description: sequence contains 18S rRNA gene, ITS1, 5.8S rRNA gene, ITS2, 28S rRNA gene
Rfam family: Eukaryotic large subunit ribosomal RNA (bases 1329-2497)
Source: RNAcentral
GGAAGGAUCAUUACCGAGCUAAAAAAGUACCUAAAUGGAUACGAGUUCGUCUCGUUGAAGUUUUCGUGCGGGGCUUCGUCCGUAUACCGGUGCGAUACGAUGGUUAGGCGCCGAAUUGCGCGAUACCAUUCACUGGUCGAAAGUUGGACGAAGCUAACGGAGUGCUAAACUCGAUGCGAAAUGUCAAGUUUACACGGCUGCUAUAUCCGCGGGUCGUCGAGCUAGUGGAGUUUGGAUACCUACUCGCGAUCUAGAAAGGGUGAUAUAGUUAGUGGCAAGCUGUCGACAGGCUUCGAGUCGUUUUAAAACUCCGAAUCAGACGACUGGGAUACGAGGCGAGAAAGCAAGUAGUAUCGCUCUCUUAUUCUUAUUCGGGUACCUAUCGAGCUAGCGAUGGAGCUGACGUCUGGCUCUAGGCAAAAUAUCGCUAGUUUCGAAGAUCCGAGUACUGAUCCGAGUAGCCGCAAGAAUGCGUUUCCUUAGUAAGCAUUUAAGGAAGCGUUUUGUCGGUUACAGGUAAAGGAAAGGACAGAUUUAAAGAGUUACUGGCGAGACGGCCGAGUCGAAAGUUUUACUCGGUCUCGUCGAGCGACUAGUCGUUUAGUAGCUGCGAAUGCAAUCAGCGAAGUUCGAUUGGUCCGGGCUACUAGCGAUAGCUAGUGGUCGGGUAACCGCCCGAAACAUCUAAAAACGAAGUAACAUAAAAAAUAAGCGAUAGUUUUUGCUCGAUCGAGUGAAGCUAUGCGUAUAUAAUUGAAUCCUAGAGAGAUUCCAUUCUAAGCGGUGGAUCACUAGGCUCGUGGGUCGAUGAAGAACGGGGCCAGCCCCGAGAAUAAGUGCGAAUUGCAGACACAAAGAACAUCGACGUUUCGAACGCAUAUUGCGGUAUCGGGCCAGCUCGAUACCACGCCUAUCUGAGGGUCGAAUAAGAAAAUAACUCGAUUUUUUUUGCGUUCUACAGCAUGUUUAGACGCAUUAACGAGCAGUGGACUUCAGACCUUGUCUAUAGGACGGUCGUUAAGUCUUAAGAUACUCGACGAAAGGAUAGAGUAUCAGGAAUACAAGCUGGUCUUUUCGGGACUUUGUAAUAGUAAAAUGUUAUUACGAGCAAGAUAGUCCGCGAGAAUGACUGGCUGUAGCAAGUUCGCUGAAGCCAAUACGGUUUUAAGGCUUGCCUUCGUCCAAUAUCGAAGAAUGGUGACUAAAAGUCAAUCGGAAAGCGAUUGGAUUGACUUUUAGUCUUCGAUGAAAGAGUGGGCGCUCGCAAUGCUGCGUAAGAUCGAAUACUUUACGCGUACCAGGCUAUAAGCGGUACUUAAACUCGAGUUUGACCUCAGAUUAGACGUGAAAACCCGCCGAAUUUAAGCAUAUAACUAGGCGGAGGAAAAGAAAUUAACGAAGAUUUCCUUAGUAACGGCGAGUGAAAAGGAAAUAGUUCAGCGCCGAAUCCCUUAGCCCAUGGUUAAGGGACCUGUGGCGUGAAGGAGAGCCUAUCUGUCGAGUUAUAAGCUUCGGAAUAUUCCUCGAAUGGGAACCCAAAGCAGGUGCGAGGCCUGUAACGAGGCGAUACUCGUCAGUUUGCGCCUCCGUAGAGUCGGGUUACUUGAGAGUGUAGCCCAAAGUGGAAGGUAAACCCCUUCUAAAACUAAAUAUUACCACGAGACCGAUAGCGAACAAGUACCGCGAGGGAAAGUUGAAAAGAACUUUGAAGAGAGAGUUCAAAAGGGCGUGAAACCGCUUAGAAGAAAACGGACGGAGCCGUCAGGGACCUUCGGGAAUCAGUCGUACGAUACACGAAUAUAUCGCGCGUUCGGAACGCAAGUCCGACCGCGGUAGCAAGAAGUAGUGUUCGUUCGGCGCAUUUCUUGAAGGUAAGCACUGCGACCGAUACGAAAGGCCAGCGAAGCGAUCGGAUUGAGGGCGAGACCUUUCGCGAGGUUCUCGUAACCAGACCGGUCGUGUUUAGUCGUUGUACCGCAGUAUGUAUCGAGCGCCAGAGAAAUAUAUACGCCGGCGUAAACGCUCGCUCGAAUAGUGGACAGUCGGUCAAUGAUGGUUGGUACCUGCUCGCAGGUGCCGGCCGAUUCGAUCGGCUUCGAAGCUGUCGGCGACAUUCCGGCGUAUAGGUGUCCGCAGUGUCAGCGUCGGUCACCCGUCCGACCCGUCUUGAAACACGGACCAAGGAGUCUAACAUAUGCGCGAGCCAAUGGGUGGAAAACCCAAAGGCGCAAUAAAAGUAAAGGCCGUUUCGGACGGCUAAGGUACGAUCCUGGAUCCACGCGAUCCAGGCGCAGUACCGUCCCGUCCCGACCGCAUAUCGGUAGGGCGGAGACAGAGUGCAUACGUUGGGACCCGAAAGAUGGUGAACUAUGCCUGAGCAGAACGAAGCCAGAGGAAACUCUGGUGGAGGUUCGUAGCGGUUCUGACGUGCAAAUCGAUCGUCAGACUUGGGUAUAGGGGCGAAAGACUAAUCGAACCAUCUAGUAGCUGGUUCCCC